CGGACGUGUCCGCUCGUGGGGACGAACCAGCCGAAAGGUUGGCUAAUACCGCAUGAGUUCUACGGAAGAAAGAGGGGGACCCGCAAGGGCCUCUCGCGAGCGGAGCGGCCGAUGACUGAUUAGCCGGUUGGUGAGGUAACGGCUCACCAAAGCAACGAUCAGUAGCUGGUCUGAGAGGACGACCAGCCACACUGGGACUGAGACACGGCCCAGACUCCUACGGGAGGCAGCAG
RNAcentral lists this ribosomal RNA (233 nucleotides) under uncultured bacterium. RNAcentral's name for it is "partial 16S ribosomal RNA". It matches the Rfam family "Bacterial small subunit ribosomal RNA", at positions 119 to 354 of the family's 1533-position model. The record is from RNAcentral.